Molecule: ribosomal RNA, 350 nt
Filed under: uncultured Clostridiaceae bacterium
Lineage: Bacteria; Bacillati; Bacillota; Clostridia; Eubacteriales; Clostridiaceae
Description: partial 16S ribosomal RNA
Source: RNAcentral
GGAGUUUGGACCGUGUCUCAGUUCCAAUGUGGCCGAUCACCCUCUCAGGUCGGCUACUGAUCGUAGACUUGGUGGGCCGUUACCUCACCAACUAUCUAAUCAGACGCAGGCCCAUCCUUAGCCGAUAAAUCUUUGGCGAAUUCAACAUGUGAUAAAUUCGCAUUAUGGGGUUUUAAUCAUCGUUUCCAAUGGCUAUCCCCCUGCUAAGGGCAGGUUGCCUACGCGUUACUCACCCGUCCGCCGCUUUCCAUCUAAAAGUUUCUACCGAAGUUUCAACACAUAGAUUUCUCGCUCGACUUGCAUGUGUUAGGCACGCCGCCAGCGUUCAUCCUGAGCCAGGAUCAAACUCA